This 918-nucleotide ribosomal RNA is filed under the name Salmonella enterica. RNAcentral's name for it is "bacterial LSU rRNA". It matches the Rfam family "Bacterial large subunit ribosomal RNA", at positions 566 to 1443 of the family's 2925-position model. RNAcentral also lists the same sequence under 1 other name. The record is from RNAcentral. Lineage: Bacteria; Pseudomonadati; Pseudomonadota; Gammaproteobacteria; Enterobacterales; Enterobacteriaceae.
UCGCGGUGGCGGAGCGUCGUUUGCGACGCCCAACACACAAAACAAGCGGUGAGUGCUUUGGGGUGGGGUGACUGCGUACCUUUUGUAUAAUGGGUCAGCGACUUAUAUUCUGUAGCAAGGUUAACCGUAUAGGGGAGCCGUAGGGAAACCGAGUCUUAACCGGGCGUUAAGUUGCAGGGUAUAGACCCGAAACCCGGUGAUCUAGCCAUGGGCAGGUUGAAGGUUGGGUAACACUAACUGGAGGACCGAACCGACUAAUGUUGAAAAAUUAGCGGAUGACCUGUGGCUGGGGGUGAAAGGCCAAUCAAACCGGGAGAUAGCUGGUUCUCCCCGAAAGCUAUUUAGGUAGCGCCUCGUGAACUCAUCUCCGGGGGUAGAGCACUGUUUCGGCUAGGGGGUCAUCCCGACUUACCAACCCGAUGCAAACUGCGAAUACCGAAGAAUGUUAUCACGGGAGACACACGGCGGGUGCUAACGUCCGUCGUGAAGAGGGAAACAACCCAGACCGCCAGCUAAGGUCCCAAAGUCACAGUUAAGUGGGAAACGAUGUGGGAAGGCUCAGACAGCCAGGAUGUUGGCUUAGAAGCAGCCAUCAUUUAAAGAAAGCGUAAUAGCUCACUGGUCGAGUCGGCCUGCGCGGAAGAUGUAACGGGGCUAAACUGUGCACCGAAGCUGCGGCAGCGACGCUUAUGCGUUGUUGGGUAGGGGAGCGUUCUGUAAGCCUGCGAAGGUGUCCUGUGAGGGAUGCUGGAGGUAUCAGAAGUGCGAAUGCUGACAUAAGUAACGAUAAUGCGGGUGAAAAGCCCGCUCGCCGGAAGACCAAGGGUUCCUGUCCAACGUUAAUCGGGGCAGGGUGAGUCGACCCCUAAGGCGAGGCCGAAAGGCGUAGUCGAUGGGAAACGGGUUAAUAUUCCCGUA